Molecule: ribosomal RNA, 293 nt
Filed under: uncultured bacterium
Lineage: Bacteria
Description: partial 16S ribosomal RNA
Rfam family: Archaeal small subunit ribosomal RNA
Source: RNAcentral
GUGCCAGCCGCCGCGGUAAUACCGGCAGCUCAAGUGAUGUCCCAUAUUAUUGGGCCUAAAGCGUCCGUAGCUGGCCGACCAAGUCUCCCGGGAAAUCCACCCGCCCAACGGGUGGGCGUCCAGCGGAAACUGUCCGGCUUGGGGCCGGAAGACCCGAGGGGUACGUCCGGGGUAGGAGUGAAAUCCUGUAAUCCUGGACGGACCGCCGGUGGCGAAAGCGCCUCGGGAGGACGGACCCGACAGUGAGGGACGAAAGCCAGGGUCUCGAACCGGAUUAGAAACCCCAGUAGUCC